RNAcentral lists this unclassified non-coding RNA (196 nucleotides) under Glomeromycotina sp. RNAcentral's name for it is "partial contains small subunit ribosomal RNA, internal transcribed spacer 1, and 5.8S ribosomal RNA". The stretch from base 1 to 47 matches the Rfam family "Eukaryotic small subunit ribosomal RNA", at positions 1785 to 1831 of the family's 1831-position model. The record is from RNAcentral. Lineage: Eukaryota; Fungi; Glomeromycota.
AAAGUCGUAACAAGGUUUCCGUAGGUGAACCUGCGGAAGGAUCAUUACAAAUCCAAGUCAAGUCUAUUGACAAGUUGAAAUGUGUGUGUGAGAGAGAGAGAAUAUAUUUCCACACAAAAUCCAUACAUCAGUUGAACAACAAAUAUCAUUCAUUCAAUAUUCUACACAACUUGUAACAAUGGAUCUCUAGGCUCUU